GGCGCACGGGUGCGUAACGCGUAUGCAAUCUACCUUUUACAGAGGGAUAGCCCAGAGAAAUUUGGAUUAAUACCUCAUAGUAUUAUUGAAUGGCAUCAUUUAAUAAUUAAAGUCACAACGGUAAAAGAUGAGCAUGCGUCCCAUUAGCUAGAUGGUAAGGUAACGGCUUACCAUGGCAACGAUGGGUAGGGGUCCUGAGAGGGAGAUCCCCCACACUGGUACUGAGACACGGACCAGACUCCUACGGGAGGCAGCAGUGAGGAAUAUUGGUCAAUGGGCGCAAGCCUGAACCAGCCAUGCCGCGUGCAGGAUGAAGCAUCUAUGGUGUGUAAACUGCUUUUGUACGAGAAGAAACACUCCUUCGUGAAGGAGCUUGACGGUAUCGUAAGAAUAAGGACCGGCUAACUCCGUGCCAGCAGCCGCGGUAAUACGGAGGGUCCAAGCGUUAUCCGGAAUCAUUGGGUUUAAAGGGUCCGUAGGCGGUUUUGUAAGUCAGUGGUGAAAGCCCAUCGCUCAACGGUGGAACGGCCAUUGAUACUGCAAGACUUGAAUUAUUAGGAAGUAACUAGAAUAUGUAGUGUAGCGGUGAAAUGCUUAGAUAUUACAUGGAAUACCAAUUGCGAAGGCAGGUUACUACUAAUGGAUUGACGCUGAUGGACGAAAGCGUGGGGAGCGAACAGGAUUAGAUACCCU
Molecule: ribosomal RNA, 693 nt
Filed under: uncultured bacterium
Lineage: Bacteria
Description: bacterial SSU rRNA
Rfam family: Bacterial small subunit ribosomal RNA
Source: RNAcentral